Molecule: ribosomal RNA, 440 nt
Filed under: uncultured bacterium
Lineage: Bacteria
Description: partial 16S ribosomal RNA
Rfam family: Bacterial small subunit ribosomal RNA
Source: RNAcentral
CCUACGGGUGGCAGCAGUGGGGAAUAUUGCACAAUGGGGGAAACCCUGAUGCAGCGACGCCGCGUGAGUGAAGAAGUACUUCGUUAUGUAAAGCUCUAUCAGCAGGGAAGAAAAGUACGGUACCUGAGUAAGACGCCCCGGCUAACUACGUGCAAGCAGCCGCGGUCAAACGGAGGGGGCAACCGUUAGCCGGAUUUACUGGGGGUCAAGGGAGCGGUGACGGCAGGGCAAGUCUGGAGUGAAAGGCGGGGGCUCAACCCCAGGACUGCUCUUGAAACUGUACGUCUGGAGUGCAGGAGAGGAAAGUGGAAUUCCUAGUGUAGCGGUGAAAUGCGUAGAUAUUAGGAGGAACACCAGUGGCGAAGGCGGCUUACUGGACUGUAACUGACGUUGAGGCUCGAAAGCGUGGGGAGCAAACAGGAUUAGAUACCCGAGUAGUC